This 431-nucleotide ribosomal RNA is filed under the name uncultured bacterium. Its description in RNAcentral is "partial 16S ribosomal RNA". It matches the Rfam family "Bacterial small subunit ribosomal RNA", at positions 29 to 505 of the family's 1533-position model. The record is from RNAcentral.
AACGAACGCUGGCGGCAUGCCUAACACAUGCAAGUCGAACGAGACCUUCGGGUCUAGUGGCGCACGGGUGCGUAACGCGUGGGAACCUGCCCUUAGGUUCGGAAUAACUCCCCGAAAGGGGUGCUAAUACCGGAUAAUGUCUUCGGACCAAAGAUUUAUCGCCUUUGGAUGGGCCCGCGUUGGAUUAGCUAGUUGGUAGGGUAAAAGCCUACCAAGGCGACGAUCCAUAGCUGGUCUGAGAGGAUGAUCAGCCACACUGGGACUGAGACACGGCCCAGACCUCGACGGGGGGGAGGAGGGGGGAAAUGUGGAACAGGGGGGAAAGGCUUAUCCAGCAAUGCCGGGGGGGGGAUGAAGGCCUUAGGGUUGUAAAGCUCUUUUACCCGGGAUGAAAAAGACAGUACCGGGAGAAAAAGCCCCGGCUAAACCCG